Molecule: long non-coding RNA, 265 nt
Organism: Saccostrea echinata
Lineage: Eukaryota; Metazoa; Mollusca; Bivalvia; Ostreida; Ostreidae
Exons: 3
Source: RefSeq, a predicted model, not a curated record
CAUCCCUUUAAAUUUACGAACCUAGAUAGGUUACCGGGGGAAAUAUACCCAUUGGGAUAUAGCAAAAAAAUGAUAACACAACAGUGUGAUGCAAGUGAGCUUAACAAUUUGCAGUAGCCUUCGUAAAUCUAAGACAGAUUCAAGAAUGGGAACAUUUGGUGGACAUGUUAUUCCCGGAUCGUUUCUGAUAUAUGUAGGAAUCUGGUACACAAUAUCCACUCUUCAUAAAUAUUUCGAUGCAAAGCAGCGCAGAGUACAAUUUAAA